UCUUCUUCAGCACGAAACCUAUACAGACUUACAAAGAUUGUUCGACAAUCAGAAAGACUCCUCCUCAUCAUCUCCGUCAUCUUCUUUUGACUAUGAGUGGUCAGGAUGGAUGAUAUGUAUAGUUUCUUCAGGAGCACUGCUGGCGCUCUUGAUCGCGGUAGGCAUGGUACACCAAAUCUGCCAUGCCAGACAAUAUCAACUAGCUGGCCGUGGUCAUUCGAUAUCCAGGGAUUCUUUACGGCAAAGAUUAAGUGGACGAUGUCACGGAGCCCAGACGAAAUGCUGAUAAACAACAACCACGAAAAUCAUUUUACUAGUACGGUUCUACACAUUUUUUCAAUAUAAGGAUAUUGUUCUAACUGUCUUAAACGUAAAAAUAUCCAAGUAUGGUAAAUCUCCAAGGAAUUUAAUAAAAUAAAAUUGAAGAAUAAAAGCUCUUUCAAUGUA
Long non-coding RNA from Actinia tenebrosa (Australian red waratah sea anemone), 447 nucleotides. The record is from RefSeq and is a predicted model, not a curated record. Lineage: Eukaryota; Metazoa; Cnidaria; Anthozoa; Actiniaria; Actiniidae.